GCUGCAAGUGCGCAACUUCCAAGUAAUCAAAAUGCAUCAGCUGCUGCAGAGGAAACAGAUUAUCCUGAUCAGCCUCCAUCUUCACAUGGACAGGAGAGUUUGCCUGCAAAAGGAGAUGGUAAUAUCUCAUCCUCUGCUCCAGAGUGCAGUGAACCAAAGCAGGAGAGUCUGCCGGCGGGCCAACAAUAUUCAGUUGUUCAUACAUCCCCCAACUAUAAUUUUGGAUUUGCGCCACCAAUGUUGACCAAUCAGCUCCCACCCUUUGAAAAUUCUGAAUCUCAACCUCGAGAUGUUUCUCGUCUUCCAAAUUUCCUUGUUCAGCAUCCGAUUGACCCAAGCUACUAUCCCCACUUCUACCGUUCAAGUGCUG
This 370-nucleotide unclassified non-coding RNA is filed under the name Hevea brasiliensis (rubber tree). The record is from RNAcentral. Lineage: Eukaryota; Viridiplantae; Streptophyta; Magnoliopsida; Malpighiales; Euphorbiaceae.